AUUGAACGCUGGCGGCAGGCUUAACACAUGCAAGUCGAGCGAGUGGCGGACGGGUGAGUAAUGUAUGGGAAACUGCCUGAUGGAGGGGGAUAACUACUGGAAACGGUAGCUAAUACCGCAUACCAUCAGAUGUGCCCAGAUGGGAUUAGCUAGUUGGUGGGGUAAAGGCUCACCUAGGCGACGAUCCCUAGCUGGUCUGAGAGGAUGACCAGCCACACUGGGACUGAGACACGGCCCAGACUCCUACGGGAGGCAGCAGUGGGGAAUAUUGCGCAAUGGGGGCAACCCUGAUGCAGCCAUGCCGCGUGUGUGAAGAAGGCCUUCGGGUUGUAAAGCACUUUCGGCGGGGAGGCGUUACUCGCAGAAGAAGCACCGGCUAACUCCGUGCCAGCAGCCGCGGUAAUUC
Molecule: ribosomal RNA, 406 nt
Filed under: uncultured bacterium
Lineage: Bacteria
Description: partial 16S ribosomal RNA
Rfam family: Bacterial small subunit ribosomal RNA
Source: RNAcentral